ACUCCUACGGGAGGCAGCAGUUAGGAAUCUUGGACAAUGGGCGCAAGCCUGAUCCAGCCAUGCCGCGUGAGUGAAGAAGGCCUUAGGGUUGUAAAGCUCUUUUGGCAGGGACGAUAAUGACGGUACCUGCAGAAGAAGCCCCGGCUAACUUCGUGCCAGCAGCCGCGGUAAUACGAAGGGGGCUAGCGUUGCUCGGAAUCACUGGGCGUAAAGCGCACGUAGGCGGCUUUUUAAGUCAGGGGUGAAAUCCUGGAGCUCAACUCCAGAACUGCCUUUGAUACUGGGAAGCUUGAGUCCGGAAGAGGUGAGUGGAACUCCGAGUGUAGCGGUGAAAUGCGUAGAGAUC
Molecule: ribosomal RNA, 346 nt
Filed under: uncultured bacterium
Lineage: Bacteria
Description: bacterial SSU rRNA
Rfam family: Bacterial small subunit ribosomal RNA
Source: RNAcentral